UAUGGAACAGGAGUCUUGACUGACUUUAAUGCCUGAACAAUAUUUAAGGUCGUGUGGCUCAUGUCUGUAGUCCAGCAUUCGAGAGGUUAAAGAAAGAAGGGAAAUUUAAAAGUAUGUGACCCUGUCUCAAAAACAAAAGCAAAGCAGCAGUUUUAAAAUGUGGCCAAUCUGUUUGUCUUUGCCCUGUUCAGUACUCUGAAGAAGCUAACCUCAUUGAAGAAUGUGAGCAAGCUGAGCGGCUUGGCGCGGUGGACGAAUCUCUGAGUGAGGAAACCCAGAAGGCUGUUCUUCAGUGGACCAAGCAUGAUGAUUCUUCAGACAGCUUCUGUGAAGUUGACGACAUACAGUCCCCUGAUGCUGAGUAUGUGGAUUUACUCCUUAACCCUGAGCGCUACACAGGCUACAAGGGGCCGGAUGCUUGGAGGAUAUGGAGUGUCAUCUAUGAAGAAAACUGUUUUAAACCGCAGACAAUUCAAAGGCCUUUAAAUCCUUUGGCUUCUGGUCAAGG
Long non-coding RNA from Alexandromys fortis (reed vole), 508 nucleotides. RefSeq lists it as uncharacterized. The transcript is spliced from 4 exons. The record is from RefSeq and is a predicted model, not a curated record. Lineage: Eukaryota; Metazoa; Chordata; Mammalia; Rodentia; Cricetidae.